This 501-nucleotide ribosomal RNA is filed under the name uncultured bacterium. Its description in RNAcentral is "partial 16S ribosomal RNA". It matches the Rfam family "Bacterial small subunit ribosomal RNA", at positions 30 to 523 of the family's 1533-position model. The record is from RNAcentral.
AUUGAACGCUGGCGGCAGGCUUAACACAUGCAAGUCGAGCGGGGGAAGGUAGCUUGCUACCGGACCUAGCGGCGGACGGGUGAGUAAUGCUUAGGAAUCUGCCUAUUAGUGGGGGACAACAUCUCGAAAGGGAUGCUAAUACCGCAUACGUCCUACGGGAGAAAGCAGGGGAUCUUCGGACCUUGCGCUAAUAGAUGAGCCUAAGUCGGAUUAGCUAGUGGGUGGGGUAAAGGCCUACCAAGGCGACGAUCUGUAGCGGGUCUGAGAGGAUGAUUCGACACACUGGGACUGAAACACGGCCCAGACUCGUACGGGAGGCAGCAGUGGGGAAUAUUGGACAAUGGGGGGAACCCUGAUCCAGCCAUGCCGCGUGUGUGAAGAAGGCCUUAUGGUUGUAAAGCACUUUAAGCGAGGAGGAGGCUACUUUAGUUAAUACCUAGAGAUAGUGGACGUUACUCGCAGAAUAAGCACCGGCUAACUCUGUGCCAGCCGCCGCGGUAA